CCUGCGGAGGGAUCAUUAA
This 19-nucleotide ribosomal RNA is filed under the name Lecanosticta acicola. Its description in RNAcentral is "partial 18S ribosomal RNA". Lineage: Eukaryota; Fungi; Ascomycota; Dothideomycetes; Mycosphaerellales; Mycosphaerellaceae. The record is from RNAcentral.